UAAGGUUUUUUGUUUUGUUUCAGCUUGGGAGUCUUUAUCUCUCUCUAAGGGAGUAACAGUUUAUGAAGAACACUCUGCAUUCCAGUGUCCCUUAUCAGAUCAGCAGCUGCUGGGUCCCAGUGCAGACAACCGUAAAGGGAAUUUUAGCCAGAUACUAAUGAAGACAUGAUUUAAGAGUCCAAAUAGGAGUAUCCUCUGACAGUAAAAAACUGCAAAGGAAUAGAAAAGUUAAUGCAUUUGCAGCCUUGAGAAUUCCCAUAUAGGUAAAAACAGAUAAAAGAAGCCAGAGGGUAAACCGUUAACAUUACAGAACCAAGGAAACCAGCAACCCAGCAUGCAGCGAAGACGUGUGACAACAGUCAAUGCUCCUGACUGGAUCUUCUUUACAGCCUCCUCAGUAAUAAGAGAUUGAAAAGCACACAAGGUUUCGCUCCAAGCUUUUGGUCCUAUUGGUAAUGGUUUAAGUGUUUUGAUUAGUAAGUCAUUCGAGUGUCACUUUGCAAAGUCUUUUUGUGUAACCUGGUGUUAUUAAUUCUGAUUUUACUGGACAAAUACAAGCUAUGGUUUAUAUUCCUUUCCCACCUGUGUAUAUCACCCAAAGCAGUCGUGUUACUCAAUUAAUACCAUUUCAAAGAUUGUAUUAGAGAAAAUAGACCUUCAAGUCGCACCUGAAAAAAUUCAAACCUGGAAAUAUUUUGAGUGGAAAAUUUUGAAUGCCACAAUUGAACCCCAGCAAGCCAAAUUGCAAAUAGUAGUUAAAACAAUUUACAAAAGCUAAACCUUAUUUGUGUAUAACUAAUGCAGAAUUAAGUCCAUUAUUUGAUCUUCUUAAGGGAGGACAUGGCUUUAACAGCACCUCGAGUGAUGCACAACAAACUUUGGGCGGAAUUGAAAAAGCCAUUGCUCAGAAAAAAGCCCAUAGACGACUUGAUGGUCAUCCAAUAUGUAUGUUUUUGUUAUUCUGUGUCAGGCAUUUGCUGAUCAUAGACUUAAAGGACUGUUUCUUCACUAUUCAGUUACAUCCUAAUGACACUCAAUGCUUUGCAUUCACUUUACCCACAAUCAAUAGGGAAGGACCUGAUUUGCACUUUGAAUGGACAGUAUUGCCGCAGGGCAUGAAAAAUAGCCCCACUUUGUGUCAGUUGUUUGUGGAUAAUGCUUUAAGAGAAAUAAGGCAUGUAUGGCCACAAACCAUGAUCUAUCACUAUAUGGACGAUAUUCUUUUUGCACAGAACCAGCCAUUUACCACUCAAUAAGAGAAAUAUUUGGAGACACAACUAACCACACAUAAAUUGAUUAUAGCAAUGGAAAAAAAUUCAACGUUCCCCUGUUUGGAAAUAUCUAGGAUGGAACAUAACGAAUUCUCAAGUACAACCACAAAAAAUUAACCUUUUGCACCUCGCUUACAACAGUUAAUGAUGCUCAACGACUUUUAGGAGACCUGCAAUGGUUAUGACCUAUAGCAGGAAUCCCCAAUGAUGAACUGGAUGUUUUGCGUCCUCUUUUAAAAGGAACUGAUCCAGCACGGGAAAUUAACAAUCGAACAACGACAAAUGAUACAACGCCUUAGUGAAACUCUUGUCGACCGCACAGUGGACCUCACAAUUCUCCAAGAGCGAUCCCAAUUUAUCGGAGCCCUUACGCAAAUAAAGAAAAAGGGGGAGAUUAGAGUACUUGAAUGGAUCUUUACAAUGGAUACAUCAUGAUCUGAAUGUAGUAACGGACUCCAUGUAUGUUGCCAAUAUAGUGAAUUGUGUAGAAGAUGCUCGAAUAAAAGAAAUACACAAUCAACACUUGUUUGAUUUAAUUCGACAACUACAAUCAGCUAUCCGACAACAAAUGUGCCCUUUUUGCAUAGUACAUAUUAGAAGUCAUAUGUGGACAGAAGGACUUGGAGAAGGAAAUUAUGGAGCAGAUCAACUCGUAUCUUUGGCUGCACCACUGAGUGAUUUUGUGAAGGCACGAGAAGCACAUAAUGCCUUUCACCAAAAUGCACGAGGACUACAUCGACAAUUCAACAUUACAAUGGAGGAAGCAAAAGGAAUUGUCUGCGCCUGCCCUACAUGCAGUCAUCAUGGACCUGGUUUAGGGUUAGGUGUAAAUCCAAGAAGUCUCAGAUCUCAAGAAUUAUGGCAAAUGGACGUGACCCAUUUUGCUGCAUUUAGCAGAUGGAAAUAUGUACAUGUCAUCAUAGACACUUAUAGCAAAUAUAUAUGGGCCUCUGCGCAAACGGGACCAAAAUGGAUUCCCAGUAAAUGGACCGAUGGGUUCUUCUGAUGAAAGAAGACAAGCAGAGGGUCAAUGACAAACUCCUGUUGACUGUAAAACCUAUUAUUGAGAGGUUAAGAGGCUAUCAAAAAGAGAUUGACGACAUAGUUGAAAGUUGCACACCUUUUGAAAAUAUUGUAAAUGGGAUAGAAGAGUUAGCAACAUUUAAAGUCAAGGGACCAGCUAAGCAGAACUGUCUUGAUUGCAAAAGGCCACAUUGUGUACCAUGGGUAGCCUUACAAUGUGGAAUGUGUAAAGAAAUAUUUUGGAUAAGGCAAAAAUUUUUGAGAGCAUUAUGGUGUCCAAGUUGUGAAUUUAAAUUUAGUUUUUAUAACUGGCAGAGAGAACUGCAAAAACAAACUAAAUUACCUUUGUCCAUUUCCCUAGCCUUAUUUGAAUCACCAGAACAAAAAAUAUUGGCCUUUUAUCGCUUUGAGGCUGAGGCCUGUGUAAGAAGGAUUCAGGCUCAGUUAAGUUCAAAAAUUUUAACCUAUUAUUGUUCCAAGGAGGUACCAUUUACAAGACAUUCACUAUUUGGUGCCAUCAAAGGGAACUUGGAAGAAGGAUUGUAUAGAGCGAUUGCAAAAGGGGAACUGUAAUCAUGUUUAUAAAAAUUGAUCACGUUUGUGUUGUUUGGUGCACUAAUAGCUAUAGUUCUGGGGAUAAUACAUUUUAAUCAGCCAAGGGACAAUAUUUGGGUAAUGUUUGCAAAUCAGUUGAACCAGUCUUCACUUUGUCUUAGCUUAGGAGGAGUGACUAAUCCUUUUCGAACUUGUUUAAUAGGUCUGCCAGUGUGGAAGCCUGAGGAGUUUUGUGGUUUAGUGAGCAAUGAAACAUUGUGUUGAAAUCUAUCUGCGGUUAAGGUUUUAGAUGGAGCGAUUAAUGGAACUCCACCACUUCAUGAUGCCUAUCGGCAGUGUCAAUACUGUCACUUAACACCACCUUGCAAUCGCCCCCUGAAGAGUUAGACCUUUUUGGGAGUGCUAAUGCCAGUUUGUCAGGAAGCAACUCAGGAGGCUGGAUUAACUUUACUCCUGUAAGUGACACAGCGCCUUGACCGUGGUUAAAACACAGGGGCGCCUGGGCUACUUUGGACUCUAAAUUAGAUUGGCAUAGUGUUCUCGACCAAACGUUUGAUAAAUGCAAUGCCAGCAAAAUUGGCACCCCAAAAAGGCUACCGAAAGGCAUCUUCUUGAUUUGUGGAGAUAGAGCAUGGAAUGGUAUACCGGCACAGCCACAAGGAGGGCCUUGUUAUCUUGGCAGACUAUCACUGUUUCACCCUAAUAUAUCUUUGAUCAUGCAGUGGAGCCAAAACACGAGCAGGAAAAAACGCAGUGUACAUGAGCUAGACUGCGAUCAGAUAGGAGACCCUACAUUUUGGAGUGAAUUCAAACAGGUAGCAGUUGCGACCAUCCUCCCUGGAGCUGCAGCUAAUAAGGCAAUGAAUUUAGCAAAACAAUUGGGUUGUUGGACAAAAGACGAAUUGAACAUGACAUCAGAAAUUCUGAACAUGCUCACAAGUGAUGUACAAAGCGUCAAUCAUGCAGUGUUACAAGACAGAGCUGCCAUAGAUUUCUUGCUCCUGGCGCAAGGCCAUGGGUGCGAGGAGUUUGAAGGAAUGUGCUGCUUGAACCUGUCUGAUCACUCCACAUCUAUACAUGCUAAAUUAAAAAGGUUACAGCAGGGCUUUCGCCAACUGAAACAAGAAGAUGGAUGGGGAAUAGACAAUUGGAUACAAUCAAUAUUUGGCUCUUUAUCACCUUGGCUCCUCUCUAUGAUUAAAGAAGUAUUGCGUUGGAUAGGCCUAAUAUUGUUGCUUAUAGUUGCAUUUAAGAUAGGCUACAAUUGUAUUAUGCGCAGCAUAACAAAAAAUUACAAUGCUCUGCUUGUGCAAAAAGAAAAAGGGGGAAGUGCUGGGGAAUGGUUAAGUGAACAAGGACAUGAUUCAAUAGAAGAGCUUUGUGAGACACAUAUUGUAUAAAUGGAAACCUUGUUAAACUCUGAGUGUGGGUAUGGACUGAAAGAACAGUAAGCAUGCAAGGAGGAACCUCUAAGAAGAAACUUCUAAGGGACAAGUGGAUCUUUCUCAAGGAAACAGGAUGGAACACUGAGCCCAACUGUGACUGCAAUGUAACUGCAAGAAGAUAAACAGAGCUCGAAGUAACAGCAUAGCAACAAUGAAUCAAUAGGGGGCAAAUAGUUUUAGUAACUAAUCAUGUAGAGGCUAUAACAAAGCACAAAGCAUCUUUUGAAUGUUAAGAUAUAUAAUCCGGGUAGAUUUUGAAUAAAGUCGAAGCUUGCUUUAUCACUCACACUGAGUUGUCCGCUUGCUUCCCUCGCCCGUUCCACACAGAGGUCCUCUGCAGAGGAUCUCAUGGAGCAGCAGAUUUUCUGUCAGGACUUGUGGCCUCACUGAGGACCUACACUGCAGUAGUCUAUCCAGAGGAGCUGCACCCUGCAGAAAGGACCCAUCUUGGAGCACUUCUUUAGGAAUUACAGGUCAUGAGAAAGACCCAUCUUAGAGAAUUUUGAGAACAACUGUCUCCUGUAGAAGGAACCUUACACUGGAGCAAGAGAAGAGGAUGAGAGGGAAGUCGUGAUAGAGAUAAAGUGUUACAAACAGAUCACAAACCUAAUUCCCCAUCCCCUACACCACUUGGAGGGUAUGUGUGAGAAGGAGCAGAGGAUUCAGGAGUGAAGAUGAGCCUUGGAAGAAGAGAGAGAUUUGUUGAAUGUAUACCAGAGUCUGACACUAGAUAAGAACUGAGUUCCAACAGCAACCCAUCAGCAAGAGACACAUUGCCUUUUGGAGUUUUAUCUUCCCGUUCCUGGUUUACCCUGUUCUAUUACUGCCCAGGAAAACUCCUCGCUAUCUUGCACUGCCAUCCAUUGUCUGAAAAGUUCAGGAACUCAUUUCUGCUGGCACCCAAAGUGAACUCCUUUCCUCAUCAUAGAGAAUAUCCUCUGAAGGUGAACUGGAGAUGGAAGCUUCAGAUUAAACAUCCAGAUACAGAAAUUAGCAUGGAGAAUGAGUUUUGUUAUAACUCACUACCAGCCUUCCCCCAGCCAAGCUUCACAGCUGCUAGAGAGAUACUGCUCUGAUAAAUUGACUUUUUUAAGCUAACUUCAAAAUCACCACCCUCUCCAACAAACACAAAGAAAGAACACCAAACCACAAAAUAUAGAGAAAUAGAGCUCCACAAAGUUAAUCUUCAUGGUCAAGAAGCAAAUUUUUAAUUUUAGGCAUGGCCUUUAUGAAGAACACAAGAAAAGAGAUGACUCACUUUUGCAUUUGUAGGGAUCAGUCUUUUCUUAUGUGAUGUCUCUGCAAGACAGAAAUUUUUUUCCUCAGGGUAAUUACCAGGACCCACAGUCGAUUUAUCAGGAGCCUUUUCUUCGCCUGCUAGCACUGCCCACUGUUGAGGAUGAUAUGCUGUUAAGGGGCAAUAACUGUACAAUCAUCUCUCCUUCCCCUCCCAACUGCUCUCAGCCCUGCAGGGUCAUCCAGUCUUGCCAAGAAAGAAACCUCCCUAAUCCUCAGAAGUAGGAGAGGCAACAGCGUGAGAAGAUAGCUGCCCAUCCUAGAGCUCAUUAUUUUAGGGUGGUCAAGUUAAAAAACAAAAAAAGGAGAAGAGAAACAGAUUUUUCCCACCCUGUAACGGCAUUAGGCUAAAGGAUGGGAACAAUUCUGUUUACUGUCUUCUGAAAGCACAGGCAUAAGUCAAGUCAUGUGAUUCAAACUCAGCCAGAUCCUCCUGCCUCCUCCUUCUCCUCUGCUGCUGAUGAAUGGAGGGACAUAACUUCCCUCAGCUCACAGACUGAGUGAAGGUGGACUAGGGAAAGAUCAAGACAGUAGGCAGGUGUCUACUUGUCUUAUAUACUAUUUUUAAAACCCAGAACACAUCAGUUAACCUAAAGACUCUCCUUGCGCAUUCUGGAAUACAAAUGUGUAAUCUGUGCCAUCUAAAUUGUCAGGCUAGUGUAUUUUGCCCUUGUUUGCUAUUUAAUUGCAAGUCCAGUAAGUCAGGCACCUCCAAAGAGACUUUGCAGGACCCUAACACCCUCAUAGGUCAACACGAUCUCAUGGUGGUGGAAACAUCACUGUCUCACUUCAGGUUUCUGUGUGUAAAUCCACAGCUGAGGAGAGUAUGCUCCUUCAGAAAGCUCUUGACUUUCAGGAAACUUUUCUCUAUCUGAUACCUGAUACCUCUUACUCAUAAACAAGCAGGCUGAAGCAGAGUUUGCAGAAACAUCCAGGAGGAUGGAGCAGUGUCUGAGCACCGUCAGGGAGUGGUCCGGAGCAGGUACUAUGAAAGUUGACAUCCCUGUCUCUGAUUGCGCCCUGCUCCAGCCUGAAAUCUGCUUCUAUCUGAGGAAUGGCCUGAAGCCAUAUUUUCAUCUGCUUAUGAGGUGAGAAGGAAAAAUACUCAAGUUCCAGCUUGUAGUCCCUCCCCUCAUUAUAAAUACAGAAGGCUGUGCCUGCCCUCACUAUAGGAAAAGGCAGGUCUUUUAGUGAUAAUAAGGAAGCCUGGCUGCAUUGACUGACUAGAAUGUUUUAAAUGUGUGUUUCUGGUAAAGAGGUACAAGAAAAAGGGUUUUAUUAUCUUCCUACAAAAUAAACAUUCUUUUGGUUCAAUCCUUAAUGUGGGAGUUUCAUAAUAAUAAAUUAGAGCUCAAAUAGAGCUGUAGUGAAAAAAAUGUGUUUAGUAUUCAUGCAACUUUUCCAUCCCCACUGUCCACAGAACAUAACUAAGAAGCUGAGAAAAAAACACGUACAGUAUUUGAAAGCAAUUUAAAAAUGUUACCCAGAACUAGUGUCCAUGAACUGUUCUAACAGUUCCCUGUAGUAUUUACAUAACAGUGGUUUGUAUCGUCUUGGUAUGCAGUAUUCAAGAAAGAAGAAAAAUAUUUUGCGGAGCUGGACCAAAACACAUAUAAAAAUGAUCCAAGUGGAAUCUUCAGUUGUCCUUGCAGCUGUACAACCUAAUGUAGGAAAAAGUUUAGCUUUAGUCUGCAGAUCUCUCUUCUUUCCUUGCCAUUAUCCUCACCGUUAUCUUCCAACCUGGCUUUCAGCCAGUCUCUGUUUAGGGCUUUUUGUGCUUUCUGAGGAUCCUGUGUAGCUCAUGAUUUAAAAAUAAAAGGUUGCAAAAAUAAAUAUACAUCACUACUAGUUUAAUAAAUCUGUACAUGAUUUAACAGACAAAAAGAUAAUAUAGUCUCUCAGAGAGGUCAUCUUUAAGAUAAAAUUUCACAGAAACACAUUCCCAUUCAACUUGAUGUCUUUCUAGGUUUUCCUUUCUCUGUGCUGUAUUUUACUCACUUUUCUGUUUGGUAAGCAAAAAGAAAGAGCUUGGAAAAUGCAGGCAUUUAUCAUUCCAGUGUGUGGUCCUAUAUAUCCCAGUUCACUUUCACUUGGCUAAGUUUUGCUUGUACAAGAAAUGGUAAUCAGUUAAUCUUUAGACCUGAACAGCUGAACUUCUGAGUGAAACCUGAAACCUUAGCUGCACUGAACAUCUUUCAGUAUUGCAAAGAAGACAUAUAAGCACAUCUGAGAUCAUUGCCAGAGGAUUCCCAGGACAGUUCUUGUACAAGUCUGAAUCUGUGCAGACAAUGUGAAGCGUAAAUAUCGUAACAUAAUUAAAGGCCAGAUUUGCCAAAAAGCAGGUUAUAUUUAGUUACCUAUAGCACUGCUCUGGAAAAACAGUGUAAAACAUUGUUUGACCAUCUGUAGGUUAGCACAGAGAGGAAACGAGAAAAUUGCUAAUUCACUGAAAACUUGAACAGUUAGACACAGAAAAAGUAAAGUAGUUGAGACGUAAGUUCAGAAGCACAGCAGCUUUCCAUCAUUGCAAUAAAAAAGACAUUUUUCAGAAUAUGAAAAUGGAAAGUGAGACAACUCUUUUUAGUUGCUUGAGAGGUAAGGAAAUCCAACCCGCUUUUGUGAAUUUGUAAUAAAUAUUUAUGGAGUUUCUUGAAGUGCCACCUAGUCUUCAGAAAAGUUGGUUUUACCUAAGGCCCACAGUGUAGCAGCACUUAAAACCCAGUUCCAAAACUUCUAGUGAUGAAAGAGAUGCAUUUUUUAGAAGGCUAAAAAAGUAAUUAUUAAUUUAAAUAAAAAAUAUUUGUAGGCUUUUGAACACAAAAAAAAUAUAAAUACAAAAUACAGAAAGUCUACUCUCCUACCUCCAAGACCUUACAAAAGAACAAAAAAAUUGAAUAAAUUACAAUGUCUCUGUAGAAAUAACCCUUAAAUGUCACUGUGGGAAAAUGUUACUACUUUUUCCAUCUUGUUCUUUGCAGUGGUAAAUCAAUAUUCACAAUAGGGGAUCAUUUCACUCCAUCCAGUAAAGGGUGCAGCACAGAGCAGGUGCUCAAGUGCUAAGUACAAAUCAAAGAAAACAGGCUCUGACAGAGUAGGACACAAAAAGGGUUCUGGAAGGAGCUUGUUAAUGUAAUUUUAUUCUGUAAAAGUGUGGUUAAGAAUGUAUAGGAGAGAUGUUCAUUCUAUUCAACUUUCAGCUAAUUUGUUCCUGUUUGUUCCUGGGCAUUAUUUCCUCAUGAAGGUUGAUGACAGAUUCUUGUAGGCCAC
Long non-coding RNA from Cuculus canorus (common cuckoo), 8857 nucleotides. RefSeq lists it as uncharacterized. The record is from RefSeq and is a predicted model, not a curated record. The transcript is spliced from 3 exons. NCBI's taxonomy places the organism in Eukaryota, Metazoa, Chordata, Aves, Cuculiformes, Cuculidae.